RNAcentral lists this ribosomal RNA (255 nucleotides) under uncultured bacterium. RNAcentral's name for it is "partial 16S ribosomal RNA". It matches the Rfam family "Bacterial small subunit ribosomal RNA", at positions 1246 to 1500 of the family's 1533-position model. The record is from RNAcentral.
GAAGCGAGACUGCAAAGUGGAGCGAAACCCAGAAAAGUACUCUCAGUUCAGAUUGUGGGCUGCAACCCGCCCACAUGAAGUUGGAGUUGCUAGUAAUCGCGGAUCAGCAUGCCGCGGUGAAUACGUUCCCGGGCCUUGUACACACCGCCCGUCACACCAUGGGAGUUGGGAGCGCCCGAAGCCGGUGAGGUAACCGAGAGGAGCCAGCCGUCGAAGGUGAGACCAAUGACUGGGGUGAAGUCGUAACAAGGUAGC